This 253-nucleotide ribosomal RNA is filed under the name uncultured bacterium. RNAcentral describes it as "partial 16S ribosomal RNA". It matches the Rfam family "Bacterial small subunit ribosomal RNA", at positions 524 to 776 of the family's 1533-position model. The record is from RNAcentral.
GACGGGGGAUGAAAGCGGUAUCCGGCCUCACUGGGCGUAAAGCGUCUGUAGGUGGUGAUGCAAGUCACUGGUGCAAAACUCUGGCUCAACCGGAGGAAAGCCAGUGAAACUGCAUGACUAGAGUGUGGGAGAGGUAGAAGGAAUUCCCUGAGUAGCGGUGAAAUGCGUAGAUACAGGGAAGAACACCGGAGGCGAAAGCGUUCUACUGGAACACAACUGACACUGAGAGACGAAAGCUAGGGGAGCGAAUGGG